AAAUCUCACAACUUGAAUCUUUUUUCAUUUGUGGACUUGGAUUUGCGAUUACCUAGUAAUUGCUAAUCUGAAAUGGAUUUCAUGAAGCUAAACUCGCUUUUAUCUUUGCUUAAUAGUUUUGCUUUGCAAAUCUUUUGCAUUGAUUAAAAGCCCAAAAAGUGAAUUGAUUUUUACGAAUUCAAUACCUCAUU
RNAcentral lists this unclassified non-coding RNA (191 nucleotides) under uncultured Umbelopsidomycetes. Its description in RNAcentral is "sequence contains ITS2". Lineage: Eukaryota; Fungi; Mucoromycota; Umbelopsidomycetes. The record is from RNAcentral.